RNAcentral lists this ribosomal RNA (423 nucleotides) under Triticum aestivum (bread wheat). Its description in RNAcentral is "partial small subunit ribosomal RNA". Lineage: Eukaryota; Viridiplantae; Streptophyta; Magnoliopsida; Poales; Poaceae. The record is from RNAcentral.
AUGGCCAUGUCGCUCUCCCUCGCGCGCCUGGCCCUGCCGCCGGUCCUCCAGGCCCUCCCGGGCAGGAGGCCGGCCCACUCCGCCCUCGCCUUCCCGGCCAACUCAUUCUUCGGCGCGCCGCUGGCCGUGGCCGCCGCCGGCGCCGCCGCGCUGUCCCCGGCGGCCCCGCUCCCGCGCCCCCUCGCCGUCGUCGCCGCCGGGAAGGGGUACAAGAUGAAGACGCACAAGGCGUCGGCGAAGCGGUUCAGGGUGACGGGCACCGGGAAGAUCGUGCGGCGCUGCGCCGGGAAGCAGCAUCUGCUCAGCAAGAAGAACGCCAAGCGCAGGAAGAGGCUCUCCAAGAUGGUCCAAGUUAACAAGAGCGACUACAGCAACGUGAUGGGUGCGCUGCCCUACCUCAAAGUGAACAAGAAAGCAGGCUGA